AGAGUUUGAUCAUGGCUCAGAACGUACGCUGGCGGCACGCCUAACACAUGCAAGUCGAACGCAGUAGCAAUACUGAGUGGCAAACGGGUGAGUAUAAUGUGGGAAUCUGCCUUUUGGUUUGGAAUAACACGGGGAAACUUGUGCUAAUACCGAAUAAGCCCUCACGGGGAAAGUUUUAAUGCCGAAAGAUGAGCCCGCACUUGAUUAGCUAGUUGGUAAGGUAAAAGCUUACCAAGGCAACGAUCAAUAGCUGUUCUUAGAGGAAGACCAGCCACAUUGGGACUGAGACACGGCCCAGACUCCUACGGGAGGCAGCAGUGGGGAAUCUUGCACAAUGGGGGAAACCCUGAUGCAGCGAUGCCGCGUGAGUGAAGAAGGCCCUUGGGUUGUAAAACUCUUUCGUCGGGGAAGAAAAUGACUGUACCCGAAUAAGAAGGUCCGGCUAACUUCGUGCCAGCAGCCGCGGUAAUACGAAGGGACCUAGCGUAGUUCGGAAUUACUGGGCUUAAAGAGCUCGUAGGUGGUUAAAAAAGUUGAUGGUGAAAUCCCAAGGCUUAACCUUGGAACUGCCAUCAAAACUUUUUAGCUAGAGUGUGAUAGAGGUAAGUGGAAUUUCUAGUGUAGAGGUGAAAUUCGUAGAUAUUAGAAAGAACACCAAAUGCGAAGGCAACUUACUGGGUCACUACUGACACUGAGGAGCGAAAGCAUGGGUAGCGAAGAGGAUUAGAUACCCUCGUAGUCCAUGCCGUAAACGAUGUGUGCUAGACGUUGGAAAUAUAUUUUUCAGUGUCGCAGCGAAAGCAUUAAGCACACCGCCUGGGGAGUACGACCGCAAGGUUAAAACUCAAAUGAAUUGACGGGGACCCGCACAAGCAGUGGAGCAUGUGGUUUAAUUCGAAGAUACGCGCAGAACCUUACCAACGCUUGACAUGUUCGUCGCGAGACUAAGAGAUUAGUCUUUUCAGUUCGGCUGGACGAAACACAG
Molecule: ribosomal RNA, 985 nt
Filed under: marine metagenome
Description: bacterial SSU rRNA
Rfam family: Bacterial small subunit ribosomal RNA
Source: RNAcentral